This 685-nucleotide long non-coding RNA is filed under the name Canis lupus familiaris (dog). RNAcentral describes it as "lncRNA (ENSCAFG00845016931.1)". The record is from RNAcentral. Lineage: Eukaryota; Metazoa; Chordata; Mammalia; Carnivora; Canidae.
GGAAUAAGUCCAUAUUCCACCUAGCUACAGAGAGCAGUGUUAAGAUACCUUCAUGCUACUGGUGCAUGUGACUGAGCUUCUGUCUAAUCCAGGAUUUUGCCCUGGGUGGUAAAAUCACUCAUUUCUGUGCUUGUAUAAGGAACACAAAGACAUUUCAGAAUCCUGCCAACACAGCUCAGAAUAGAGUUGGGAAUUUCCUUUAGAUUACAAUUGAACGACCUGAAAAGAACUCCUUCCUGAAAUGGUGACUCAGCAAAUAGGUCAAGAUACAAAUUUAUGUAUGAAUAAUGAGACACAAAAUAAGUUCCACCCUGGAGUAGAUACAAACUUCAAUUGCCUCUUACUCCUAGAGACCUUCAUCAUUAUUAUUUCUCUGUUCAUAAAGGAAUAUCGUGAUAGUGGAGCAAGGAGGGAAGAAACUAAGCAAAAGACAGGAGCACUUCUGGAAGAAAUUGGUAAUUAUUUUCAGACUCAUAUUCCUUUGGUGGUCCAUUUUAUUGCAAUGAUUGUUGCACUGCAUUGGAAGUUUUCCAAUCAUCUGACUUUUCCGUAUUUAUUCUCUUUCAAAUUUACAAAAUUUUCUCCAUUUUAUUUUUCAGGAGCACUUCUGGAAGAAAUUGGUAAUUAUUUUCAGAUUCUUAUUCCUUUGGUGGUCCAUUUUAUUGCAAUGAUUGUUGCACUGCAU